RNAcentral lists this ribosomal RNA (451 nucleotides) under uncultured bacterium. Its description in RNAcentral is "partial 16S ribosomal RNA". It matches the Rfam family "Bacterial small subunit ribosomal RNA", at positions 354 to 796 of the family's 1533-position model. The record is from RNAcentral.
GUGGGGAAUAUUGCGCAAUGGGGGAAACCCUGACGCAGCGACGCCGCGUGAGCGAAGAAGGCCUUAGGGUUGUAAAGCUCUGUUUUAAGGGACGAAUGUCGUGGGGAGUAAUAUGCUCUGCGAAUGACGGUACCUUAAGAGGAAGCCCCGGCUAACUACGUGCCAGCAGCCGCGGUAAGACGUAGGGGGCGAGCGUUGUCCGGAAUUACUGGGCGUAAAGAGCACGUAGGCGGGAACUUAAGUCAGGUGUGAAAGACCGGGGCUCAACUCCGGGGUUGCACUUGAAACUGGGUUUCUUGAGGGCAGGAGAGGAAAGCAGAAUUCCUGGUGUAGCGGUGAAAUGCGUAGAAAUCAGGAGGAAUACCAGUGGCGAAGGCGGCUUUCUGGACUGACCCUGACGCUGAGGUGCGAAAGCGUGGGUAGCAAACAGGAUUAGAUACCCGUGUAGUCC